GAAAUGCAAGUUAUGCAGCAGUCUCAUCUCCAACCCCCCAAUUGUUGUUUGGUGGGGACAUGGAUUUGGUCUCGUUCAGCUGUUUGCUGAAAAGGACAGCAUUCUGAACCAACCAAACAGUUUACUGGGCAUCAUCUUUUACACUCUGCAGCUAGGCCUAGGCCAAAUGGUGUCAAAUACAGCAGCACAUUUCUUGGUCAUGGCAUCCUGGGUGUCAGAAGCUGGUUCGAUCUAUCUAGCUUCUAUUUUAGUAUUUGUUCUGGAAGAUUUCUGCCUGGUGUGUGUGUGUGUCGACAUACAUCACCGACUUUUCUCUCCUCUACACCAACCUGCAGAGAAGGACAUGCCUUAGAGGAAAGCAGAAAAAAGACAAGACAAAAUGAGACCUUGUAUGUUUGUGUGUGUUUGUGUCUGUCUGUCUGUUUGCUGAAACAAUUCCACCAUACAAGAAUAUAGUGCUCUUUGCUUAUAGAGCAGACAUUUUUGUUACACAAAAGCCAGCAAAUGAUUAAUUCUAUUUACUUAAAAACUAUUUGCCUCUUUGAAUAAAAGCUUUUAAAAAAGUAA
Molecule: long non-coding RNA, 567 nt
Organism: Tachysurus fulvidraco (yellow catfish)
Lineage: Eukaryota; Metazoa; Chordata; Actinopteri; Siluriformes; Bagridae
Exons: 3
Source: RefSeq, a predicted model, not a curated record